Molecule: ribosomal RNA, 427 nt
Filed under: uncultured bacterium
Lineage: Bacteria
Description: partial 16S ribosomal RNA
Rfam family: Bacterial small subunit ribosomal RNA
Source: RNAcentral
UGGGGAAUAUUGCACAAUGGGCGCAAGCCUGAUGCAGCCAUGCCGCGUGUAUGAAGAAGGCCUUCGGGUUGUAAAGUACUUUCAGCGGGGAGGAAGGCGAUGUGGUUAAUAACCGCGUCGAUUGACGUUACCCGCAGAAGAAGCACCGGCUAACUCCGUGCCAGCAGCCGCGGUAAUACGGAGGGUGCAAGCGUUAAUCGGAAUUACUGGGCGUAAAGCGCACGCAGGCGGUUUGUCAAGUCGGAUGUGAAAUCCCCGGGCUCAACCUGGGAACUGCAUCCGAAACUGGCAGGCUAGAGUCUCGUAGAGGGGGGUAGAAUUCCAGGUGUAGCGGUGAAAUGCGUAGAGAUCUGGAGGAAUACCGGUGGCGAAGGCGGCCCCCUGGACGAAGACUGACGCUCAGGUGCGAAAGCGUGGGGAGCAAACA